AUGGCAAGUCAGUUGCAGGUGAUCCAGUAGCUGUUGCAGGCAGAGGUGAUGGAGGCCCACAAGCCAAAUAAACAGAGGCUGACCCAGGCCAAAGAAGCUAAGGCUGAAAUUGAACAGUACCUCCUGCAGAGGGAGAAGAGUUAAAGGCCAAGAAACCCAUUCACUGGGAUCAUAGGGCAGUUGCAGCACUGAAGUGGAGGAGACCUAGGAGAAGAUGAUCAUCUUCCAGAACUACUUCAGGCAGAACAGGGAUGAAGGCUUGGGUCACUUGUUGGUCUUUGAGACAUCCAGCCAAAAAUCCAUGAAAUCUACUCCAUAAAUG
RNAcentral lists this long non-coding RNA (322 nucleotides) under Homo sapiens (human). RNAcentral's name for it is "non-protein coding lnc-LUZP2-2:1". The record is from RNAcentral. Lineage: Eukaryota; Metazoa; Chordata; Mammalia; Primates; Hominidae.